Molecule: RNase P RNA, 325 nt
Filed under: Hujiaoplasma nucleasis
Lineage: Bacteria; Bacillati; Mycoplasmatota; Mollicutes; Candidatus Izemoplasmatales; Hujiaoplasmataceae
Also listed under: 1 other name
Description: Bacterial RNase P class B
Rfam family: Bacterial RNase P class B
About the family: Ribonuclease P (RNase P) is a ubiquitous endoribonuclease, found in archaea, bacteria and eukarya as well as chloroplasts and mitochondria. Its best characterised activity is the generation of mature 5'-ends of tRNAs by cleaving the 5'-leader elements of precursor-tRNAs.
Source: Rfam by way of RNAcentral
GUCAUUAGGUAAUCGAGCGUGAAAACGUUAGGAAAGUCCAUGCUAGCACAAACUGAGAUGUUUGUAGUGAUUGUGCUAAACGAACAAAUAAGUUUAGGCACCAUUUGGUGACGGCGAAGAAAAGGAUUAACGGCCUGAGUAUUCUUAAAGUGCCACAGUGACGAAUCAUAGAGAAUAUCUAUGGGUGAAACGGGUAAACCCCUCAAGCUAGAAACCCAAAUUUUGGUAGGGGCAUGACUGUGCAAGAAAUGAAUUGACACAGUUGGCGGGAAACCGGAGAUAAAUGAUUACCACGCUUUUUAGCGACAGAACAUGGCUUAUAAAU